This 468-nucleotide ribosomal RNA is filed under the name uncultured bacterium. Its description in RNAcentral is "partial 16S ribosomal RNA". It matches the Rfam family "Bacterial small subunit ribosomal RNA", at positions 28 to 507 of the family's 1533-position model. The record is from RNAcentral.
GACGAACGCUGGCGGCGUGCUUAACACAUGCAAGUCGAACGGAAAGGCCCUGCUUUUGUGGGGUGCUCGAUUGGCGAACGGGUGAGUAACACGUGAGUAACCUGCCCCUGACUUUGGGAUAACUUCAGGAAACUGGGGCUAAUACCGGAUAUGAGCUCCUGCUGCAUGGUGGGGGAUGGAAAGUUUCGGCGGUUGGGGAUGGACUCGCGGCUUAUCAGCUUGUUUGUGGGGUAGUGGCUUACCAAGGCUUUGACGGGUAGCCGGCCUGAGAGGGUGACCGGCCACAUUGGGACUGCGAUACGGCCCAGACUCCUACGGGAGGCAGCAGUGGGGAAUAUUGCACAAUGGGCGGAAGCCUGAUGCAGCAACGCCGCGUGCGGGAUGACGGCCUUCGGGUUGUAAACCGCUUUCGCCUGUGACGAAGCGUGAGUGACGGUAAUGGGUAAAGAAGCACCGGCUAACUACGUG